GAUGAACGCUGGCGGCGUGCCUAAUACAUGCAAGUCGAGCGAACGGACGAGAAGCUUGCUUCUCUGAUGUUAGCGGCGGACGGGUGAGUAACACGUGUAUAACCUACCUAUAAGACUGGGAUAACUUCGGGAAACCGGAGCUAAUCCCGGAUAAUAUUUUGAACCGCAUGGUUCAAAAGUGAAAGACGGUCUUGCUGUCACUUAUAGAUGGAUCCGCGCUGCAUGAGCUAGUUGGUAAGUUAACGGCUUAUCAAGGCAACUAUGCAUAGCCGACCGGAGAGGGGGAUAGGCGACAUGAGAGCUGAGACACGGACCAGGCUCCUACGAGAGGCAGCAGAAGGGAAUCUGCGGCAAAGGGCGAAAGCCUGACGGAGCAACGCCGCGUGAGUGAUGAAGGUCUUCGGAUCGUAAAACUCUGUUAUUAGGGAAGAACAUAUGUGGAAGGAGCUGUGCACAUCGUGACGGUACCUAAUCAGAAAGCCACGGCUAACUACGUG
Molecule: ribosomal RNA, 497 nt
Filed under: uncultured bacterium
Lineage: Bacteria
Description: partial 16S ribosomal RNA
Rfam family: Bacterial small subunit ribosomal RNA
Source: RNAcentral